AUGGCUGUCGUCAGCUCGUGUCGUGAGAUGUUGGGUUAAGUCCCGCAACGAGCGCAACCCCUACCCUUAAUUGCCAUCGGGUUAUGCCGGGCACUUUAGGGGGACUGCCGGUGACAAGCCGGAGGAGGGUGGGGAUGACGUCAAGUCCUCAUGGCCUUUAUGACCAGGGCUACACACGUGUUACAAUGGGAGUUACAGAGGGAAGCUAAGCCGUGAGGCCAUGCCAAUCCCAGAAAAACUUUCUCAGUUCGGAUCGCAGUCUGCAACUCGACUGCGUGAAGCUGGAAUCGCUAGUAAUCGCGGAUCAGCACGCCGCGGUGAAUACGUUCCCGGGCCUUGUACACACCGCCCGUCACACCAUGGGAGCUGACAAGGGCAGAAGUCGCCGAGCUAACCUUCGGGAAGCAGGCGCCCAAGCUGUUGUUGACGACUGGGGUGAAGUCGUAACAAGGUAGCCGUAGGAGAACCUGCGGCUGGAUCACCUCCUUUCUAAGGACGCCGGAGAUGCUUUAUGCUUAUCUCCGGAUAGUCAAAGUCGAAACAGACUCUCUUCUCUUCUCUCCCUUUUCUCCUGUAAAUGCUAAGUUAUGAAUUUAGAGCAACGAAUGAAUUGAAUUCGUUACUGUGGACUCCUAAUUUCAAGAGGGGCCUGUAGCUCAGCUUGGUUAGAGCGCAUCCCUGAUAAGGAUGAGGCCGGUGGUUCAAGUCCACCCAGGCCCACCAGGUUCAGUGGGGGAUUAGCUCAGCUGGUAGAGCGCCUGCUUUGCAAGCAGGAGGUCAGCGGUUCGACCCCGCUAUCCUCCACCAAAUUAAUGAACAGUAAAAAAAGGUGGUACAGCUUAAGCAGAAGAUAAGCUUCAGCAAUUAUUUAAUAAUUUCUGAAUUUUAUUUUUUAAUAUCUUAGACAAUUGAAUCGGAGGUUUUGGAGACACAAGAUCAAAUGUGAGGGUCUCCAAGGGUUGACGAUCUUGACUGUUAAAGUCAGGUAGUAAGGGCGCAGGGCGGAUGCCUUGGCUCUGGGAAGCGAAGAAGGACGUGGCCAGCUGCGAUAAGCCUCGGGGAAGAGCAAACAUCUUUUGAUCCGGGGAUUUCCGAAUGGGGAAACCCGG
This 1109-nucleotide small RNA is filed under the name uncultured bacterium. Its description in RNAcentral is "bacterial SSU rRNA". The stretch from base 1 to 489 matches the Rfam family "Bacterial small subunit ribosomal RNA", at positions 1045 to 1533 of the family's 1533-position model. The record is from RNAcentral.